RNAcentral lists this non-coding RNA (27 nucleotides) under Bombyx mori (domestic silkworm). Lineage: Eukaryota; Metazoa; Arthropoda; Insecta; Lepidoptera; Bombycidae. The record is from RNAcentral.
CUGGCAACGACCAUGCUGGAGAAUGGG